GACGUAGGGCGCGAGCGUUGUCCGGAUUUAUUGGGCGUAAAGAGCUCGUAGGCGGUCUGUCGCGUCGGCUGUGAAAACUCGGGGCUCAACUCCGAGCUUGCAGUCGAUACGGGCAGGCUAGAGUUCGGCAGGGGAGACUGGAAUUCCUGGUGUAGCGGUGAAAUGCGCAGAUAUCAGGAGGAACACCGAUGGCGAAGGCAGGUCUCUGGGCCACUACUGACGCUGAGAAGCGAAAGCGUGGGGAGCGAACAGG
Molecule: ribosomal RNA, 253 nt
Filed under: uncultured bacterium
Lineage: Bacteria
Description: partial 16S ribosomal RNA
Rfam family: Bacterial small subunit ribosomal RNA
Source: RNAcentral